RNAcentral lists this ribosomal RNA (305 nucleotides) under uncultured bacterium. RNAcentral's name for it is "bacterial SSU rRNA". It matches the Rfam family "Bacterial small subunit ribosomal RNA", at positions 337 to 639 of the family's 1533-position model. The record is from RNAcentral.
UCCUACGGGGGGCAGCAGUGAGGAAUAUUGGUCAAUGGGCUUACGCCUGAACCAGCCAAGUCGCGUGAGGGAAGACUGCCCUAUGGGUUGUAAACCUCUUUUGUCAGGGAGCAAUUGGCGCUACGUGUAGCGUUAUCGAGAGUACCUGAAGAAAAAGCAUCGGCUAACUCCGUGCCAGCAGCCGCGGUAAUACGGAGGAUGCGAGCGUUAUCCGGAUUUAUUGGGUUUAAAGGGUGCGUAGGCGGAAUGCCAAGUCAGCGGUAAAAUCGCGGGGCUCAACCUCGCUCUGCCGUUGAAACUGGCGU